RNAcentral lists this ribosomal RNA (402 nucleotides) under Brachybacterium sp. Its description in RNAcentral is "bacterial SSU rRNA". It matches the Rfam family "Bacterial small subunit ribosomal RNA", at positions 21 to 422 of the family's 1533-position model. The record is from RNAcentral. Lineage: Bacteria; Bacillati; Actinomycetota; Actinomycetes; Micrococcales; Dermabacteraceae.
GGCUCAGGACGAACGCUGGCGGCGUGCUUAACACAUGCAAGUCGAACGAUGACGACCGUGCUUGCACGGUCUGAUUAGUGGCGAACGGGUGAGUAACACGUGAGUAACCUGCCCUUCACUUCGGGAUAACCUCGAGAAAUCGAGGCUAAUACCGGAUAUGAGCUCGCACCGCAUGGUGUGGGUUGGAAAGUUUUUCGGUGAGGGAUGGACUCGCGGCCUAUCAGUUUGUUGGUGAGGUAAUGGCUCACCAAGGCGAUGACGGGUAGCCGGCCUGAGAGGGCGACCGGCCACACUGGGACUGAGACACGGCCCAGACUCCUACGGGAGGCAGCAGUGGGGAAUAUUGCACAAUGGGCGAAAGCCUGAUGCAGCGACGCCGCGUGGGGGAUGACGGCCUUCGGG